RNAcentral lists this long non-coding RNA (224 nucleotides) under Vigna radiata. RNAcentral describes it as "long non-coding RNA (VRAD_LNC017648)". Lineage: Eukaryota; Viridiplantae; Streptophyta; Magnoliopsida; Fabales; Fabaceae. The record is from RNAcentral.
AAGAAUCAAAUCAGAGCANAAACAGGGCCUGAUCCACAUCAAAUCUUGCUCAAGCGUCGNAGGGAGCUCGCCCGGGCGUGAAUUAAGGGUUCUGUAAGGCUUGNGCGCAAGUUUUGGACGUUUGGGCUACGAGCGGCCGUCGCCCGGGCGUCGGGUCUGUCGCCCGGGCAAGGACGGUGAUUUCUUCNCGCAAAAUUUGCGCUUCUGUCGCCUGGUGCUCGCCU